RNAcentral lists this ribosomal RNA (463 nucleotides) under uncultured bacterium. RNAcentral's name for it is "partial 16S ribosomal RNA". It matches the Rfam family "Bacterial small subunit ribosomal RNA", at positions 28 to 507 of the family's 1533-position model. The record is from RNAcentral.
GACGAACGCUGGCGGCGUGCUUAACACAUGCAAGUCGAACGGAAAGGCCUUUUCGGAGGUACUCGAGUGGCGAACGGGUGAGUAACACGUGGGUGAUCUGCCCUGCACUCUGGGAUAAGCCUGGGAAACUGGGUCUAAUACCGGAUAGGACCGCACUUUAGUGUGUGUGGUGGAAAGUUUUUUCGGUGUAGGAUGAGCCCGCGGCCUAUCAGCUUGUUGGUGGGGUAAUGGCCUACCAAGGCGGCGACGGGUAGCCGGACUGAGAGGUUGGUCGGCCACAUUGGGACUGAGAGACGGCCCAGGCUCCUACGGGAGGCAGCAGUGGGGAAUAUUGCACAAUGGGCGCAAGCCUGAUGCAGCGACGCCGCGUGGGGGAUGACGGCCUUCGGGUUGUAAACUCCUUUCGCCAGGGACGAAGCGUUUUGUGACGGUACCUGGAGAAGAAGCACCGGCUAACUACGUG